GAUAAACGCUGGCGGCGUGCAUAACACAUGCAAGUCGAACGAAGUGGCGAACGGGUGAGUAACACGUGAGUAACCUGCCUUACACAAGGGGAUAGCCUAUGGAAACGAAGAAUAAUACCCUAUAGUGUAAGAUGGACUUGCGUCGGAUUAGCUAGUUGGUGAGAUAAAGGCCCACCAAGGCAACGAUCAGUAGCCGGCUUGUGAGAGUGGACGGCCACAUUGGGGGUGGGACACGGCCCAAACUCUACGGGAGGCAGCAGUGGGGAAUUUUGCACAAUGGGGGAAACCCUGAUGCAGUGACGCCGCUUGAGUUAGAAGGCCUUCGAGUUGUAAAAAGCUUUUUUAUGGGAUUCAGUACCAUAAGGAUAAGGUCCGGCUAAAUACGUGCCAGCAGCCGCGGUAAUAC
This 406-nucleotide ribosomal RNA is filed under the name uncultured bacterium. Its description in RNAcentral is "partial 16S ribosomal RNA". It matches the Rfam family "Bacterial small subunit ribosomal RNA", at positions 28 to 526 of the family's 1533-position model. The record is from RNAcentral.